Non-coding RNA from Anas platyrhynchos (mallard), 1245 nucleotides. NCBI's taxonomy places the organism in Eukaryota, Metazoa, Chordata, Aves, Anseriformes, Anatidae. The record is from RefSeq and is a predicted model, not a curated record.
AACAACAACAACAACAAAAUUCUAAUUAAGGUCACCCUUAAAUAUGUCCCGGCUGACAGUGGCACUGCUACACUGCACAUCAAUUUUCCUUGCACUGUAGCCAGGAUGGCAAAACACGCACCCUCCAAAGUCAACACAGGCAGUUUGGACAAUGCCCAAGAACCCAUAUGUUGGGCUUACUCCAGCAAGGCUAGGCAGAAAUGGCCAGCUCACAGCCAAAAGCUGUAUUGCCACAACACGGAUAAGCAUGGAGCCAGCCUGGGCAAGCUGUUGUGAAAGGCAUCGAUUCUAUGUCACCCAUACAAAUUCGGUGAGCAACGCUGAGUUUCCCCUGCCCGUAGGAUUAGGCUGUAUAUGGAAAUGAGAGCCAGCAUGGGAGCAGGGAGAAGAGAACGAGGGGAAAGUCACACCCCAUAAUUUUAAGCCUCGAAAAGUAGGGAUUCGGUCCAAGCUAAUUGUUUAAGUUCACUUUAUAUUUAACAGAGAAAGAAACUCAUUGCCAGAAUGGAAUUUCUCUCAUCUUGAAUUAGGUGGGAUAUGAGUUCCUCCCCAUGUUUCUCUGUUAAAAAGAAAGGAAACCGAGAAAAUUAGUUCAGUCCAAACACUUUGAUUAAUGCUAACAUCAGGUAAGAUGAAUCCUACCCUAAAUCUAUCCAGGUGAGAGUGACAAAGCCAGGAGGAGAAUGCAGGAGGGCAGCUUCAUUUCCUCAUGCCCUGACACACUGUCUCCUCUUUCUGCCACCUUUUCUCAUGGUGAUCAUCACCCAGCGCCUCGAGGAACCAAACCAGCUCCUGACACCGGGAUGACUGGGUUACCAGAACAGAAUAACCGUAUGAAUCCAGAGACAGCCAAGUCUGACGACUGAAACUCAACUGCUACUUGUUUGAAAGUUCGUCCAGAUCUGGCCCUCAGGUUCUCAUCCCCCUGAGGCCGGUACACACGCCUUGCUCACUGCGUGCACGGGGCUAACAGCGCUCCUGGUCUGUCUGCAUUAGCCACCACGACUGAAUCCCUGUUGCCAUAGAUACUGCUACAGUAACAUUAUAGUUUCCACAAAGAUGCUUCAGCAAUUUACUCUGGUGAUUAAACUGCAGCCAUUUAUUGCACAGAAUAAAUAACAGGGCAACGGUGAAUUAUGGGGCUACGACUCCAUCGAUGGGUCCCGGUGACAUCAUAAACCACAAGAACCAAGCUCGAGUCAUCAGAACUCCCGAGAUGGAAUUAUAAGCUCCAUCAUUCAAAUU